RNAcentral lists this unclassified non-coding RNA (2003 nucleotides) under Hevea brasiliensis (rubber tree). The record is from RNAcentral. Lineage: Eukaryota; Viridiplantae; Streptophyta; Magnoliopsida; Malpighiales; Euphorbiaceae.
AAUAAUAAUAAUAAUAAAAUAAAUGAAAAUAAAAAAUUCCCCUCAAUCGGUAACAGGUCUCUUUCUAACGAGUGAGAUAAAAGAUAAAAAUUACAAAUGAAGGACUUCAAUUUGAAGCUGUUCUUCACAACUCUCAACCAAAAAAUGGGGAAGAUGGGCCUUGAUCAUAAUUAGUCUGUACUGUAAGAUCCUGUAUGCCCAAAUCAUGAUACAGACCAUGCAAAAAUUGUAAUGUUGGUCUAUCAUCCAUCCCCUCCUUCACCUGAACUGAAAGUGAACCAACAACGUGACCAGGCACCAAUUCCCAAAAACGAGCUUGAGACACUUCACUAACAUCUUCACGAGCAGUAACCUGUCUUAGGCAUUUGCUCAAUGCAGAAGAAUGAAUGCUAGGUGGCGCCAUUUGAAGUAGGAUGCCAGCAGUAGAUUUAAAGAGUGGCAUGAUAAGCAUAAAAACUGCAACCGAGACUAGUCCCAAACACAAGACUUCAGCAUUGUCAACCCCGAGGGACAAAAACCAGGAUGCCAAUAUCAAACCUGCACUGACAUUUCAUCAAAAUUCAGCAAUAGUAACUUUAUUGAAACAAACAUUAAGAUUGAUUACUUUGCUGAUACAAAUACAGCGACCAUGUUGAAAUUGAUGACAAGUUCAAUGACUUCAGGUGAAAUCAAUCUGAAAAACAAAAAUGCAUGCACAAAAGAAAGUCUGCAUGUCAGUAUAGAAAUAGAGAGAGUGAUAGAGAGCAAACCUACGAAUGGAAUCAGCAAGGACAUGCAAGCAAACUGAGUGGUAAUUCAUAUCUUCUGCUUUUCUGUAAACAAGGUUAAUGCGGGCAUAGUUCCUAAAGAACCAAACACCAAUAAGAUUUACGAAUAAAUUUGUCACCGCAGAAACAAUCAAAUAAUGCUUGUGCUCAGAUUCAUCUUGUAUGAAUGCAUGGAGUGCCUCCACUGCUAUGGAAAAUGACAUGAACAAAAGAAACAGAGCAUUAGUGAAAGCAGCCAAAACUUCAAGCCUUUUGUACCCGUAAGUGUAUACACGAUCAGGCUUUCCCCGAGAAGCAGCCAUGGCGAAUAAAGAAAACGUUAAGAGACCACAACCAAAUGUCAGAUGAAAUGCAUCAGAUACCAACCCAACACGCCCCGUGAACAGCCCAAUUCCCAAUUCCGCAGUAGAAUAUGCAACAUUGAGCGAAAUCAUCACCAAAAGCCUCUUCAUAUGCCUAUUCCCGGACCUUACCACCCUAAAUAUCGAUAUCAGGGAACACAAAACUGAUAAUGUGUUCUUCUCUUUCAUGGAGUCUUUUGCCUCCUCAUAAAUGCUUUCGCUUUCGUAGUCGUCGGAGUAAAUCUCCGGUGGAACAUCUAUGCUCGAAACAGCGCGCGAAAGCAGAGGUCUUGUCGUAUCAUUCGAUAUAAUAGAAAUCGGAGUGUGCGGCUCAACUGAUUGAUGAUGAAAUGAAGACUGCCGCCAAUAAGUGUACCUACGAUCGCUUGCACCGAAUCCGAAAUCUCCAGUCCAUGGAUGCUGCGAAUUCGUUUCUUGCGUUUGACACUUAAAUGAAUUGCUCUUCUCCAUUAGUGAAAACAAAGAAAUCAGAACUGAAGUCGUAGAUCCCGAAUUAAGAUUUAAAACCCUAAAUUUGAAGGCGGAAUUGAAAUCAAGCGCAAGAAUUGCAAUGAUCAGACAGGACUCAUAGUCUGAUACAAAUUCCAGGGAAAGCGUCAAGAAAUGAAAUUUUAGAGAGAAGAGAUUACAGGGAAUACGAUUCUGUUGAGAAAAUGAAGUGAAAGCGAAGGAAUCGGAGGAGUAAAAUGGAUCGAAAAACCCUCCGGUGAAAGAGAAGACUGAAAAGUCCAAGUAAACGAUCAAGACUUGGUUAUAUCUGUGAGAAAAUGUUAACCGAAUCGAACGGUGGUGAUUCCACUUUCCUGGAAAAUAUCGGCGUCAGUGGGACCACCGCGUUUGACACAUGAUCGACGGCGCACAACGCAAAAAAGAU